GUGAGGAAUUUUCCGCAAUGGGCGAAAGCCUGACGGAGCAAUGCCGCGUGAAGGAUGAAGGCCUAUGGGUUGUAAACUUCUUUUCUCAGAAAAGAAUUAUGACGGUAUCUGAGGAAUAAGCAUCGGCUAACUCUGUGCCAGCAGCCGCGGUAAGACAGAGGAUGCAAGCGUUAUCCGGAAUGAUUGGACGUAAAGCGUCUGUAGGUUGUUUAAAAAGUAUUCUGUCAAAGAUUAGGGCUUAACCCUAGAUAGGCAGAAUAAACUUUUAAGCUAGAGUUUGGUAGAGGCAGAGGGAAUUCCCGGUGGAGCGGUGAAAUGCGUAGAUAUCGGGAGGAACACCAAAGGCGAAGGCACUCUGCUGGGCCAAUACUAACACUGAGAGACGAAAGCGAGGGGAGCAAAUGGGAUUAGAUACCCGGGUAGUCC
Molecule: ribosomal RNA, 426 nt
Filed under: uncultured bacterium
Lineage: Bacteria
Description: bacterial SSU rRNA
Rfam family: Bacterial small subunit ribosomal RNA
Source: RNAcentral